GACGAACGCUGGCGGCGUGCUUAACACAUGCAAGUCGAGCGGAAAGGCCCUUCGGGGUACUCGAGCGGCGAACGGGUGAGUAACACGUGAGUAACCUGCCCCAGACUUUGGGAUAACCCUCGGAAACGGGGGCUAAUACCGGAUACGACACAGCUUCGCAUGGGGUCUGUGUGGAAAGUUUUUCGGUUUGGGAUGGGCUCGCGGCCUAUCAGCUUGUUGGUGGGGUGAUGGCCUACCAAGGCGACGACGGGUAGCCGGCCUGAGAGGGCGACCGGCCACACUGGGACUGAGACACGGCCCAGACUCCUACGGGAGGCAGCAGUGGGGAAUAUUGCACAAUGGGCGGUAGCCUGAUGCAGCGACGCCGCGUGAGGGAUGACGGCCUUCGGGUUGUAAACCUCUUUCAGCAGGGACGAAGCGUAAGUGACGGUACCUGCAGAAGAAGCGCCGGCCAACUACGUG
RNAcentral lists this ribosomal RNA (462 nucleotides) under uncultured bacterium. Its description in RNAcentral is "partial 16S ribosomal RNA". It matches the Rfam family "Bacterial small subunit ribosomal RNA", at positions 28 to 507 of the family's 1533-position model. The record is from RNAcentral.